UACGGAGGGAGCAAGCGUUGUUCGGAAUUACUGGGCGUAAAGGGCGCGUAGGCGGCCUCGUAAGUCGCAUGUGAAAGGCCGGGGCUCAACCCCGAGCACUGCAUGCGAUACUGCCUGGCUGGAGAGAGGUAGGGGCGAGCGGAAUUCCCGGUGUAGCGGUGGAAUGCGUAGAUAUCGGGAAGAACACCUGUGGCGAAGGCGGCUCGCUGGACCUUUUCUGACGCUGAAGCGCGAAAGCGUGGGGAGCAAACAGG
RNAcentral lists this unclassified non-coding RNA (254 nucleotides) under uncultured Gemmatimonadota bacterium. RNAcentral describes it as "uncultured Gemmatimonadetes bacterium contains 16S-23S intergenic spacer region". It matches the Rfam family "Bacterial small subunit ribosomal RNA", at positions 524 to 776 of the family's 1533-position model. The record is from RNAcentral. Lineage: Bacteria; Pseudomonadati; Gemmatimonadota.